Molecule: ribosomal RNA, 429 nt
Filed under: Chloroflexota bacterium
Lineage: Bacteria; Bacillati; Chloroflexota
Description: Chloroflexi bacterium partial 16S ribosomal RNA
Rfam family: Bacterial small subunit ribosomal RNA
Source: RNAcentral
UGGGGAAUAUUGCACAAUGGGCGCAAGCCUGAUGCGGCCAUGCCGCGUGUAUGAAGAAGGCCUUCGGGUUGUAAAGUACUUUCAGUCGGGAGGAAGGUGGUAAGGUUAAUAACCUUAUCAAUUGACGUUACCGACAGAAGAAGCACCGGCUAACUCCGUGCCAGCAGCCGCGGUAAUACGGAGGGUGCAAGCGUUAAUCGGAAUUACUGGGCGUAAAGCGCACGCAGGCGGUUUGUUAAGUCAGAUGUGAAAUCCCCGGGCUCAACCUGGGAACUGCAUCUGAUACUGGCAAGCUUGAGUCUCGUAGAGGGGGGUAGAAUUCCAGGUGUAGCGGUGAAAUGCGUAGAGAUCUGGAGGAAUACCGGUGGCGAAGGCGGCCCCCUGGACGAAGACUGACGCUCAGGUGCGAAAGCGUGGGGAGCAAACAGG